RNAcentral lists this non-coding RNA (52 nucleotides) under bacterium YEK0313. RNAcentral's name for it is "serC". It matches the Rfam family "serC leader". From Rfam's summary of the family: This family is a putative regulatory RNA structure that is found upstream of the serC-serA operon in some alpha-proteobacteria. The final stem of the structure overlaps the ribosome binding site of the serC reading frame. The record is from RNAcentral.
CGGCGGGACAUCCCUCCCCAACGAGGGACGCCCAUCUGUGAGGAUGGAGACA